GCAGUCAACCCAGAACUACUAUUAUCAACCAAAUCCCUAAUGGAAGCUUAGUAACAACUAAGCUACUAAGCAAGAGUACAAUGGACUAUACAACGGUCAACCAGUAUCUAAUAUUGGUCUAAGAUGAAGGAAAAGGGUUGCCUAUGAAUAAGAGAUACGAAUAAAUAGGAUAGUAGUUUU
The submitters of this non-coding RNA (180 nucleotides) gave its source as unclassified sequences. The record is from Rfam.